GACGAACGCUGGCGGCGUGCUUAACACAUGCAAGUCGAACGGAAAGGCCCUGCUUUUGUGGGGUGCUCGAGUGGCGAACGGGUGAGUAACACGUGAGUAACCUGCCCUUGACUUUGGGAUAACUUCAGGAAACUGGGGCUAAUACCGGAUAGGAGCUCCUGCUGCAUGGUGGGGGUUGGAAAGUUUCGGCGGUUGGGGAUGGACUCGCGGCUUAUCAGCUUGUUGGUGGGGUAGUGGCUUACCAAGGCUUUGACGGGUAGCCGGCCUGAGAGGGUGACCGGCCACAUUGGGACUGAGAUACGGCCCAGACUCCUACGGGAGGCAGCAGUGGGGAAUAUUGCACAAUGGGCGGAAGCCUGAUGCAGCAACGCCGCGUGCGGGAUGACGGCCUUCGGGUUGUAAACCGCUUUCGCCUGUGACGAAGCGUGAGUGACGGUAAUGGGUAAAGAAGCACCGGCUAACUACGUGCCAGCAGCCGCGGUGAUACGUAGGGUGCGAGCGUUGUCCGGAUUUAUUGGGCGUAAAGGGCUCGUAGGUGGUUGAUCGCGUCGGAAGUGUAAUCUUGGGGCUUAACCCUGAGCGUGCUUUCGAUACGGGUUGACUUGAGGAAGGUAGGGGAGAAUGGAAUUCCUGGUGGAGCGGUGGAAUGCGCAGAUAUCAGGAGGAACACCAGUGGCGAAGGCGGUUCUCUGGGCCUUUCCUGACGCUGAGGAGCGAAAGCGUGGGGAGCGAACAGGCUUAGAUACCCUGGUAGUCCACGCUGUAAACGGUGGGUACUAGGUGUGGGGUCCAUUCCACGGGUUCCGUGCCGUAGCUAACGCUUUAAGUACCCCGCCUGGGGAGUACGGCCGCAAGGCUAAAACUCAAAGGAAUUGACGGGGCCCCGCACAAGCGGCGGAGCAUGCGGAUUAAUUCGAUGCAACGCGUAGAACCUUACCUGGGUUUGACAUGGAUCGGGAGUGCUCAGAGAUGGGUGUGCCUCUUUUGGGGUCGGUUCACAGGUGGUGCAUGGCUGUCGUCAGCUCGUGUCGUGAGAUGUUGGGUUAAGUCCCGCAACGAGCGCAACCCCUGUUCACUGUUGCCAGCACGUUAUGGUGGGGACUCAGUGGAGACCGCCGGGGUCAACUCGGAGGAAGGUGGGGAUGACGUCAAGCCAUCAUGCCCCUUAUGUCCAGGGCUUCACGCAUGCUACAAUGGCUGGUACAGAGAGUGGCGAGCCUGUGAGGGUGAGCGAAUCUCGGAAAGCCGGUCUCAGUUCGGAUUGGGGUCUGCAACUCGACCUCAUGAAGUCGGAGUCGCUAGUAAUCGCAGAUCAGCAACGCUGCGGUGAAUACGUUCCCGGG
This 1343-nucleotide ribosomal RNA is filed under the name uncultured bacterium. RNAcentral describes it as "16S ribosomal RNA". It matches the Rfam family "Bacterial small subunit ribosomal RNA", at positions 28 to 1378 of the family's 1533-position model. The record is from RNAcentral.